This 441-nucleotide ribosomal RNA is filed under the name uncultured bacterium. RNAcentral describes it as "bacterial SSU rRNA". It matches the Rfam family "Bacterial small subunit ribosomal RNA", at positions 339 to 796 of the family's 1533-position model. The record is from RNAcentral.
CUACGGGAGGCAGCAGUAAGGAAUAUUGGGCAAUGGGCGAAAGCCUGACCCAGCAACGCCGCGUGGAGGAUGACGGAUUUCGGUUCGUAAACUCCUUUUACAGGGGACGAGGAAGGACUGUACCCUGGGAAAAAGUCACGGCUAACUACGUGCCAGCAGCCACGGUAAAACGUAGGUGGCAAGCGUUAUCCGGAUUUACUGGGCGUAAAGCGUGUGCAGGCGGUCUUCCGAGUGGUGUAUGAAAGCGCCCGGCUUAACCGGGCGAGGUUAUGCCAGACUGGGAGGCUGGAGACAGAGAGAGGGACGUGGAAUUCCGGGUGUAGUGGUGAAAUGCGUAGAGAUCCGGAGGAACACCAGAGGCGAAAGCGGCGUCCUAGCUCUGUUCUGACGCUCAGACACGAAAGCAUGGGGAGCGAACGGGAUUAGAAACCCGAGUAGUCC